CCGGCAAACGGGUGCGGAACACGUACGCAACCUACCCUUAUCUGGGGAAUAGCCCGAAGAAAUUCGGAUUAAUACCCCAUAGUAUCACCUGGUGGCAUCACCGGAUGAUUAAAGAUUUAUUGGAUAGGGAUGGGCGUGCGUCCUAUUAGCUAGUUGGUGGGGUAACGGCCUACCAAGGCGACGAUAGGUAGCUGGUGUGAGAGCACGACCAGCCACACGGGCACUGAGACACGGGCCCG
This 239-nucleotide ribosomal RNA is filed under the name uncultured bacterium. Its description in RNAcentral is "partial 16S ribosomal RNA". It matches the Rfam family "Bacterial small subunit ribosomal RNA", at positions 95 to 334 of the family's 1533-position model. The record is from RNAcentral.